AACGAACGCUGGCGGCAUGCCUAACACAUGCAAGUCGAACGAUUGCCUUCGGGUGAUAGUGGCGCACGGGUGCGUAACGCGUGGGAAUCUGCCCUUAGGUUCGGAAUAACAGCUGGAAACGGCUGCUAAUACCGGAUGAUAUCGCGAGAUCAAAGAUUUAUCGCCUGAGGAUGAGCCCGCGUUGGAUUAGGUAGUUGGUGGGGUAAAGGCCUACCAAGCCGAUGAUCCAUAGCUGGUCUGAGAGGAUGAUCAGCCACACUGGGACUGAGACACGGCCCAGACUCCUACGGGAGGCAGCAGUGGGGAAUAUUGGACAAUGGGCGCAAGCCUGAUCCAGCAAUGCCGCGUGAGUGAUGAAGGCCCUAGGGUUGUAAAGCUCUUUUACCCGGGAAGAUAAUGACUGUACCGGGAGAAUAAGCCCCGGCUAACUCCGUG
This 435-nucleotide ribosomal RNA is filed under the name uncultured bacterium. Its description in RNAcentral is "partial 16S ribosomal RNA". It matches the Rfam family "Bacterial small subunit ribosomal RNA", at positions 29 to 507 of the family's 1533-position model. The record is from RNAcentral.